Molecule: long non-coding RNA, 786 nt
Organism: Camelus dromedarius (Arabian camel)
Lineage: Eukaryota; Metazoa; Chordata; Mammalia; Artiodactyla; Camelidae
Exons: 4
Source: RefSeq, a predicted model, not a curated record
GCAUGUCGUGGCCAUGAUCUGUUCUUGUCCUCACAGGGCCCUGUGAUCUACAUGCCUGCACUCCCCUUCUGCUCCUUGGAGAUGAGGUGGCAGGUUUAGGAGCCUGGGCACUGCUGAGGACAUAGCUGCCAGCACUGUGCUACACCGAGGCUGGCUCGGUUCACCUCACAUGUCACCUCCUGCUGAGCCCCCAGGAGUUAGUCAAGAGACCCUCGAAUUCCGAUAUGAAUUGUAGCAGCUGCAAGUCAGUUUCUGCAGAGGAGACUCCUGGGAUUGUAAUCGAGACCACAUUGAAUAUACAGAUCGCUCUGGGGAGCACUGCCAUUCCAAGAGCGCUGUCUUCUGAUCCAUGAAUGUGCGCGGUGUGUCUGUCCAGGUACCCUCACCUCCAGUGGCAUCCAUCCAGACACCAGCACUGACAAUGGCCCUGCUCAGAACUGCCUCCACCCUGAAGACACAAAUGACAAAUAGAAGGGGGCCACACUCUGCUCCAGCAGGUGUUCUCACUUUGUGGGUCCAUAUGUAACUGCACGUUGUUAUUCAGGAUCGCCCGUUCUAAAUAGUGUGACGGUGCUGCGGUGUAUCCUAGUUAUUUGUUUGUGAUCUGAGAAGCAGGAGCAAGGAACUCAGGGAGAGAUCCAGGAAGAUAUCUGACAGUGUUAAGAGACGACAGUCACAGCGACAUGGGGAGCGAAGACACUUGCAGCAAAUUAAAAUAACCUCACAACUAUUGCAUAAGAGCUGCAGGUGUGAGAGAGCCUAAGCCUGUCUCAGAGUGCAGGGGAC